RNAcentral lists this ribosomal RNA (404 nucleotides) under Actinomycetes bacterium. Its description in RNAcentral is "Actinobacteria bacterium partial 16S ribosomal RNA". It matches the Rfam family "Bacterial small subunit ribosomal RNA", at positions 355 to 776 of the family's 1533-position model. The record is from RNAcentral. Lineage: Bacteria; Bacillati; Actinomycetota; Actinomycetes.
UGGGGAAUAUUGGACAAUGGGCGCAAGCCUGAUCCAGCCAUGCCGCGUGAGUGAUGAAGGCCCUAGGGUUGUAAAGCUCUUUCACCGGUGAAGAUAAUGACGGUAACCGGAGAAGAAGCCCCGGCUAACUUCGUGCCAGCAGCCGCGGUAAUACGAAGGGGGCUAGCGUUGUUCGGAUUUACUGGGCGUAAAGCGCACGUAGGCGGACUAUUAAGUCAGGGGUGAAAUCCCGGGGCUCAACCCCGGAACUGCCUUUGAUACUGGUAGUCUUGAGUGCGAGAGAGGUGAGUGGAAUUCCGAGUGUAGAGGUGAAAUUCGUAGAUAUUCGGAGGAACACCAGUGGCGAAGGCGGCUCACUGGCUCGAUACUGACGCUGAGGUGCGAAAGCGUGGGAAGCAAACAGG